GACGAACGCUGGCGGCGUGCUUAACACAUGCAAGUCGAACGGAAAGGCCCUGCUUUUGUGGGGUGCUCGAGUGGCGAACGGGUGAGUAACACGUGAGUAACCUGCCCUUGACUUUGGGAUAACUUCAGGAAACUGGGGCUAAUACCGGAUAGGAGCUCCUGCUGCAUGGUGGGGGUUGGAAAGUUUCGGCGGUUGGGGAUGGACUCGCGGCUUAUCAGCUUGUUGGUGGGGUAGUGGCUUACCAAGGCUUUGACGGGUAGCCGGCCUGAGAGGAUGACCGGCCACAUUGGGACUGAGAUACGGCCCAGACUCCUACGGGAAGCAGCAGUGGGGAAUAUUGCACAAUGGGCGGAAGCCUGAUGCAGCAACGCCGCGUGCGGGAUGACGGCCUUCGGGUUGUAAACCGCUUUCGCCUGUGACGAAGCGUGAGUGACGGUAAUGGGUAAAGAAGCACCGGCUAACUACGUG
RNAcentral lists this ribosomal RNA (468 nucleotides) under uncultured bacterium. Its description in RNAcentral is "partial 16S ribosomal RNA". It matches the Rfam family "Bacterial small subunit ribosomal RNA", at positions 28 to 507 of the family's 1533-position model. The record is from RNAcentral.